Molecule: long non-coding RNA, 289 nt
Filed under: Equus caballus (horse)
Lineage: Eukaryota; Metazoa; Chordata; Mammalia; Perissodactyla; Equidae
Description: lncRNA (ENSECAG00000059295.1)
Source: RNAcentral
CAGAGACAUUUCAAACUGCAAAAGGAAUUAGGACCCUCUUGUUCAGUUCAGGCUGAUUGAGACCACCAACCCAUAAACUGGGCCUGCACAGAUGUCUCAUAAGUGACCUGUUAACUUCAAGGGGCUACCCUCAGAUCCUGCUCUGCCAUUUUGUGAACAUGAGUCCUAUGAAGAGGCCUGGAGUCUGACUACGCUUGCACAGAUCAUCAAUUACCUCACUGCUCCUCACCUCCAAUCACCUCUCUCCACAUUUCAGACUACCUUCUCCCCUACUCCAUAAAUAUCCCUG